UAACGACUCUCGGCAACGGAUAUCUCGGCUCUCGCAUCGAUGAAGAACGCAGCAAAAUGCGAUACUUGGUGUGAAUUGCAGAAUCCCGUGAAUCAUCGAGUUUUUGAACGCAAGUUGCGCCCGAAGCCUUCCGGCCGAGGGCACGCCUGCCUGGGUGUCACGC
This 163-nucleotide ribosomal RNA is filed under the name Dalechampia arenalensis. Its description in RNAcentral is "5.8S ribosomal RNA". It matches the Rfam family "5.8S ribosomal RNA". Rfam says of the family: 5.8S ribosomal RNA (5.8S rRNA) is a component of the large subunit of the eukaryotic ribosome. It is transcribed by RNA polymerase I as part of the 45S precursor that also contains 18S and 28S rRNA. Functionally, it is thought that 5.8S rRNA may be involved in ribosome translocation. The record is from RNAcentral. Lineage: Eukaryota; Viridiplantae; Streptophyta; Magnoliopsida; Malpighiales; Euphorbiaceae.